Long non-coding RNA from Diorhabda sublineata, 621 nucleotides. RefSeq lists it as uncharacterized. The record is from RefSeq and is a predicted model, not a curated record. NCBI's taxonomy places the organism in Eukaryota, Metazoa, Arthropoda, Insecta, Coleoptera, Chrysomelidae. The transcript has 4 exons.
AAUUAACCUCAAUGGAAUAAUAAACUAAAUAUAAAUGAAAUUAUUUCAAAUAUUAAGAUUUGCAGGGGAGAAUUCAAUAUUUUGGAGCUAUCUCCAUUAAAUAUGUUUAAUUUUCGAAUAGAACAAGAUUAUAUUAAGGAAAAGCAAUGCUGAAAAUCGGACUAAGAUAUUUUUUAUAUGGGAAAUUUGAAGAUUUGCACUCAAAACGUGUCUACAAAUUUGUCAUUAUUAUUUGAUAGAAUGUAUAAUAAAAAACGUUGAUGGGGUCAGUUGCAAGUAAAACAUUAAAUUUACCAGGUUAAAGUUUAUUCUGGAACAGCACAUCUAAAGGACCUAAAGCAACUGUUUCAGGCAAAUUAAAGUUAUUAAUCAAGUUAUGGAAGGCACUUCAAUAUUACCAUCAAUGAAUAUGAAGUCUGAGAAGUCUCGGCUAGAUCCACCUUGAAUUGUAAUACAUUUGAAAACAAAUAUGAAACUUGAGCUGACAACUCUUAAAUUGAAAAAAAAAAGAUUUGAAGAGCACAUUAUUGCCUCCAAUAUAAAAGCAGCCAAUGUUCCUGUAUGAAAGUGUUAUCAAAGAUAAGGAUGGAAAGGGUCAAUUUCAUUACUAUUCAAUAUCCU